Long non-coding RNA from Oreochromis aureus, 2290 nucleotides. RefSeq lists it as uncharacterized. NCBI's taxonomy places the organism in Eukaryota, Metazoa, Chordata, Actinopteri, Cichliformes, Cichlidae. The transcript has 3 exons. The record is from RefSeq and is a predicted model, not a curated record.
UGUUCAAUGUUUUUAGUUUUACUCUCUCCUUGUGACGUCGUUAUGGUCAUGUGUGUCAGCUGUUUCUCCAUGUGUUCCCACUUCCCUCAUUAUCCUCCUGUGUGUAUUUAGUCCGUGUGCUUUCAGUCAUUCCUCGUCAGGUCGUCUGCUCAUCCACGCCACAACUUCAGAGAUGGAUUUUCAGAUUUAUUUUUAGAAAAAAGAGAUAAAUAUUUAAUCAGCUUGAGCAACCCACAGAGUGAGGACACCAUCUGCAAUUAGCUUCAAGGCUGUGACCCCAGCGACUUUGAUGUGGCAGAGGAUGGAUAGAGGGACGGAGGGACGGACAGAUGGACGAAUGGAUGGACGGAUGGAUGGACAGACUGACGGAGGAAUGGACGGACGAAUUGUUGAAAGGAUGGACGGAUAGACGGACGGACGGAUUGACGGAUGGUUGGAUGGACAGACGGAUGGAUGGAUGGAUGGAUGGGCGCACGGAUGGACAGAUGGAUGGAGGGACGGAUGGACGGAGGGACGGAUGGACAGAAAGACGGACGGAUAGAUGGACGGACGGACGGAUGGACGGACGGAUGGAUGGAUUUUUUCUGAGCAAUAACCUUUGUCCUAUAAUCAAACCUUGUAGUGGUUCCUCAUGAUGGAAUAGGGAGUACUCUGUGUUUUGUUUCUUCCCUUUAAUUUUUCUGUAUCUAGAUGACCGCCAAAGUCAGCUCUCACUGGAGAUCUGGGGGUCACAGUGUCACAAGUCUUUCAGUGUGAAAGAGAAUAUGCUGGUGAUAAGAAAGAAUGUAGUUCACACUGUGGUUAUUUGUUGUGACACAACCAAAUUAAAGCUGAGAUUUAGAACACAGUAGUUUCUGUAAAGUUGUUCAGUAACAGCAAGACCACAAAACUUUUAGACCUUCUCUUUCAACUAAACUUGUCUGAUUGCAGAAAACGAUUGAGUUUCGACUGGGUAUAAUGUGAUACAGAACACAGAGUUUUCUUUUUUCCUCCCCUGCCUGGGCAUCCGUUCUAAAAAUCGCAAUUACAGUUGUUCCUCUUUUCUCCUCCUGAAGGAUAUCCAAUUUUCUCUUCCUUAAAUAGUUUGUCCUCCAUUUUCCAGAGGAGACACUGUAAGAUUUUAGAAAUUGCUCUGAGACGCCGGGCUACUGCUCAUUCCUGUGAUCGAUGCAAUUCUACUUUUUUCCUGCUCAGCUUCUCAGAAUGUUAACAGUCUCACAUGGGCGUGACACUGUCCUUUCACUUCAGCCUCAACUCAAUCUACACCGAUGUUAUUCAAUCAGGGCUGCUUGUUUCUAUUUGUUGUCUGUAAGCAACUAAUCUUUAGUCCAAUAGGAGAUUGCUAUGAAAUGCCACUAACACAGAGCUGACAUUAUGAUGAGUCAUCUCCCAGUGAGGUGAGUAAUUCUCACCUCCUCGUCCUCUGUAUGCAGAUCUGCAGCAAUAUGACAAGUACAUGUUUGUACUGUGUUGAUGUGAUUGGCCUAAUGGCCUUUCAGCCAACCAUCACCUCUCAUCUGUCGCAUCGUGUCUGUUCUCCUUUUCUUGUUGUUGUUGUUGUCUUCACACCCACAUGCUGUCUUUCCAUCACAACCUCAGCCUCUCUGCUCUGCUUUCAAUUUCACUUUGAUUUUCUCCUCUCCUGGCUUGGCUACAGAUUCCUUCUUUUUUUUUAUCUGCAGGAACUAUUUGAUCUUUUAACAGAUUUUCUUUAUCUGUAUGACCUUGUGAUGGCUUUCCAGCAACACGUGUGGGAGUAUAUAGGGAGAACAAGGAGGGGGUUUUCUUUCUCUAUAAUUGGCCCGUGGAAAAAAAAAGCUCUGUCAGCUGGCCUGAGCCCUGAGAAGUAUAAUUCCUCCCACAAUUUCCUCCGUCCACUCAAAUACAAAAACAUUCAGCCCAUGUUCUCACAGUAAAUGUGACUUCAAGGGAUAAUGCUUCCUCCAUCAUUUUUCUGAAAGUGCCUCUUAAUUAUAACUUUGCUCUGGAUAAUGACUCUGAUAUCUGAAAUUGGAGUUCUUCGUUUCUUUUAUCCCAGAAUUUCACAGACUGUGGGAUGACAGUGUGUCACACGUACACUUUCUAACAGCUAAGCUUCGCCACAGGCUUUCCACUGAACAACUACCAGCUCCUUUGUCUAGAAGAAUAAUUAAAUCACAGCUCAAGGCCAAAUAAUCAUGAAUUUAACCGCUGCUGCUACUUGAACAAUAAUGAAUGACUGAGGUUAACGUUGCUCUGGUACUUGUGUCACCGUGUUUGGGUAUCUAAAAAAAGAGUUUCAAAAUAAAUA